This 423-nucleotide ribosomal RNA is filed under the name uncultured bacterium. RNAcentral's name for it is "bacterial SSU rRNA". It matches the Rfam family "Bacterial small subunit ribosomal RNA", at positions 358 to 773 of the family's 1533-position model. The record is from RNAcentral.
GGAAUAUUGGACAAUGGGCGAAAGCCUGAUCCAGCAACGCCGCGUGGAGGAUGAAGGCCCUCGGGUUGUAAACUCCUGUCAGGUGGGACGAAGGAAGCUUGGUUAAUAGCCAGGCUACUUGACGGUCCCAUCAGAGGAAGGCCCGGCUAACUCCUUGCCAGCAGCCGCGGUAAUACGGAGGGGGCAAGCGUUAUUCGGAAUUAUUGGGCGGAAAGGGCGCGUAGGCGGCUUGACAAGUCAGGGGUGAAAUCCCUCGGCUCAACCGGGGAACUGCCUCUGAAACUGUCAAGCUUGAGUCCGGGAGAGGGUAGUGGAAUUCCCAGUGUAGCGGUGAUAUGCGUAGAUAUUGGGAGGAACACCAGUGGCGAAAGCGGCUACCUGGACCGGUACUGACGCUGAGGCGCGAAAGCGUGGGGAGCAAAC